This 86-nucleotide transfer RNA is filed under the name Klebsiella pneumoniae. Its description in RNAcentral is "tRNA-Pro". The record is from RNAcentral. Lineage: Bacteria; Pseudomonadati; Pseudomonadota; Gammaproteobacteria; Enterobacterales; Enterobacteriaceae.
CGGCGAGUAGCGCAGCUUGGUAGCGCAACUGGUUUGGGACCAGUGGCGCUUCGGCGGGGUUUUUUGUUUUCUGCUGCCGUCCGCCA